Molecule: non-coding RNA, 5289 nt
Organism: Phalacrocorax carbo (great cormorant)
Lineage: Eukaryota; Metazoa; Chordata; Aves; Suliformes; Phalacrocoracidae
Source: RefSeq, a predicted model, not a curated record
AAGCUCACUCUUGCGUAUUUUGCUACAAAAUUCCUCUCUGCAGUGAGACUUGGGUAGGGCUCCUCUUACUCAGGAAUUCAGUUCAAAGCAGUUUAUUAAUCCCUCCAGGCUUCACUGGCAGAAGAGAGAAUUAUUGACUCUGUGGCACCAGCAAAGUAGCCAGAAUCUAUAUUUUGUUUAAAUCAGAAACAGUUAUUCUUCAGCAGUGCCUUAUUGUAUCAGAAGGAUUGCACGACCUUUGGUGAAUUAUGUUGCGCCGCAGUGGGGAGCGGCAGAAAUCACCGUGCGAGAGCUGGAGGUGCAUGCCAGCUGCUGAGCUGGGGAGAGCUGCCCAGGAACAGCUACCAGGAGGCUGCCUUAGAAUGGUCUUUUUUAGUAUUUGCACCAUACUUUCGAGGAUCACCGUCCGUGUCCAUCGGUUCUGGAACUGCCCGCGGGCAGCGGCAAACCUCGGUGCAGUUGCAGAGGUGGGCUGCUGGCUCCGGCUGCUUAAUGCGAGGGGGCUGGAGGCGUCCUGAGCCUCCCCUUCCCCCCGGCCCCGCGCGGCCCCGCUGCCCCCCGUCCUGUCACACGGGCAGUUUCCGCGCUGCCGGUGCUCAGGAGCCCGGUGCGAGAGUGGCACCACCAGCACCCGGCCAAACCGCCCGCCCGGGCAAAAUGGGCGCCGAAGCCCCUUCCAGCGCAAUCGCGACGGGUUCGUUACGUUACAAGGACUGGAGGGCCGGAGGUCUGAUGCCAGCACGGCUUUUGGCACCCGAGGGUAAUUUGUGGUGAUGCAGCUGCGAGAUGCUAAAGUCCUUACGGGGAUCGUAAUUCGCGCUGGAAGCACUGGGGCCUCGCUGCGGGCGUGGAGGGUGGCGGAGGUCGGUGUGGAGCUCCGCAGCAAGUGAACCCUGGGACGGGAGCUGGUAUAAAAUACAGCAAAAUGGUAGCACUAACCCCAUGAAUCUUCCUUCCUCCCCCACAAGGCCACUUCUUAUAUGUAGUGUGAUUAAAAAUGGGCAGAAUCUUUUAAUUUUGUGUGUCCCUGUUCCUUCCUCCACAGCAGAGCGGAGCACCAGGGGAGCCUGGGAGGAGCCAGCCAGCGGGGACCUCUUCGAUAUCUGCUGCAACAGGGCAAUCCGUAGGCGUGUGCGUGGCUUCUUGUAACUCCCCGACUGCCUCUGUAGUUCCCGCAGCAAAGGAACACCGAGAAAGCAGCAAGCUCGACCCUGUUGCUGCUGCUGCCCGUCCCACCCGCGGUGCCCGGGCUCCAGCUCGGCGCAGGCUGACCCCGGCGGGGCUGGGCAGCGGGCGCAGCCUCCCCGCAGACCACCGGCGGGGCCGCCUGUGUGCCGGGGUCUGCGGUGCCCCCCGCUGCCCCCGCCUGCGGCAGAGCUGUGGCAGGGAAGCGCAGCGGCCUGUGCCGCGGGUGCCCCGGCCGGGUACCCCAGCGCCGCUGAAAGCCGCGAUGAGGUGGACUGGGCGGAGGAUUCCAGGUCACGGCUGAAACGAGCUACCCCAGCACCCAAGAGCAGGGUUCCUGCUGGGGGCAAAGACGGUCAGAAUUAGAAAGCGGGAGCUGGAGCUCAGACCGGCUGAAACCGGGCUCAAGCCGGAACCCGGCCGGUGAGACGGAGGGCAAAGCUCCCGUCCCCAGCGUCCGCGCCAGUAACAUGGCUGUAACAUUUCAUUACAAUGUCCUGGGCUCAGUGCAGAAAGACGACGACAAAAUUCCCUGGUCUGUUACGUAGGGGAGCAAGUCUUCACCGGCCCGACCACCGCGAGGCACGUCGUGCGCCAGCCCUCGGAGUGGUUUCUGGCCCGCUCACAACUUCCCAUCUGAGGCAGGUGCGAAGCGAUCAGCUCGUGCAAGCUCCCACUGACCUCACUGGUACAAAUCCCAGUGAUUUCUAUCAGAAGAAAACCUGGUGAGAAUGGAGUGAAGCCCUGCGGGGAUUUGGCCGCAGCCAACGCGGCUGACGCUGAACGCCAGUCCCAGGAGGGGCGGGGGACCCUCGGAAGCAGCAGGGAACCGCUGGCCGUACCUUUUCGGCGCUGUUGCGGGACGUGUCUGGUUUCACCAGGAUGGACGGCGGGGCUGAUGCGGGUGGCUUUGGAGCGGCCUCGCUCUUUGCUGGAGGGUCUUUGGCAUCCAGGAUCACCGAGCUGCACACAGAGGGAGUUCUGCUUUCCCCUCCUCUGACCACAAGUGCCGGCGAAGCAUCGUGGGAGAAGUUUGGCCUUGUUCCUGCCUCGGCCAUGCCAGCUCCAGCAGGGACGCUGUGCGGCUGGGGGCUGACGUGCUGAUAAAGCUGAAACUGCUGAGGCCGCACCGCAGCCGUGGGAGGACGCCUGAGGGAGCCGGCAACCUGCACGGGGGUCCCUGCCUGCCCCGGCCUCUGCAGGGAUCCGUCUGGGGGGAGAGAGCCGUUGGAAGGAGAGCCACCACAGGGAAUGAGUCCUUUACAGUAAAACAACUCUUAAGAAAAAUCCAAUUUCGAGUCUAAAAUCAGACAAUGGCCCUUGCAGACGCGCCUCCGCCCUGCCAGGGGCACCGCCUGGCUCCAGCAGCAGCUCUGCCUGCAAGCCUGGGAGAACACACCGCUUAGCUGCCCGAAUACGCUUGGAAAUGUGUUCCUGUGCAGCACGUGCGGGCUGGAGAUAAACCCUGCCAGCCUCCUGGGAAAGAAUAUAACAAACUGAGCUCCGCAUAAGACUUCGCAAAGAGUUUUUCUGUGCUGAGUCAAAAUGCCUAAAAAUGACCAAAAUAACCACAGCUGGGGAAAGCCAGUGGUGCGGGACCCUGCCAGCCCUGUUCUCUGAGGCUCCCUCUCCCUGCCCUCCGUCCCUGGGAGGGGUACGUCCUACAGCCCCGGGCAAGUGCAAGUGAGAAGCAUGUAUUGGAUCUUUGCGGAGGAGGAGAAGAAAAACAGAGCUGAUAUGGAGGCUUUUCCCCUCUGGCUCUCUGCUACAUCGAGGCUUUUGACUUCCUCACUUCACUGGAACAAUCGCUUGAAAGUUUGACUUGCAACGCGUCUCUGUGGAGUUACGUCUCCUCCCGCUCUCGCACAGACCAGCUGUGGUAAGUCCCUGUGACCCCCUGCUCCCACCAGCCACGGACGCGCCUGCGUGGAUCUGCAUUUGGAUCGAACACGCGGGAGCUGCGUUUGGGUCUGCCUUUACCGCCCGGCUCACGAGGACCCUCGGCUGGAGAAGCCUCAGGCGAAGGAAGGAAGAGGAGUUUGGGAAAACAGCAUUUCAAGCCCAGACUUUGCUAACCAGGAGGAGACCGUUGCGUCUGCCAGAUGAUCUGUGAAGAUUCUGUAUUGAGAUCUUUAGUGAGACUGUGAAGAAGGAAUGAGACUCUUUUGCCUCCUAAAAUGAAGAGCGGAUAUAGUCCAAAAGUUCCUCCCCUUAGUCAGAAACCGCAGCUGGCUCCUGGCUGUUUGAUUCCCCUUGCCCUCUGCCAGCCACCCCACAUCCAGCUCCAGCUCCCUGGGGACCCCUGGCCUGGACCACAGCCGCUGCCGCCUCUCCCCACCCGUGAGAGCGAGGGGAGCCUCGCGUCCGUGCUGCCAGCUGGACGGAGAAAGAGGUGACUUCUCUGUGAGGACACUGACGGCUCCGGGCAGCGCGCUCUGCUCGGCUCUGCCAUGCCUACCGCAUUUCGGCACUACAGGGACAGCUGGCUUUGCUGGGAGGUGCAGUUACUGAAAAGAGCGUGUCUCUAAGAGAGCAAACACAGGCUCUGUAGCCUGUGGGGAAUAAAGGGAAACAGCAGAAGUUCGGGUAUUGCUGUGCAAAUGCAUGCCUCCAGUAGGCUGGGUACGUUCAACCUGCAUAAAUGAUGUGCCCCCAGACCUGGAAGCAAUUUUCUUUACUAUGUCAGCAGGUGGCUUUUAGACAUCUUGGAGUGUUUUGGUCCUCAAAGCAGACUACCACCGUCAGCCACAGCUCAUCAGCAACAGCAGCACGGGCGAGAAGCUGAGCCGAGGGACUGCGCUGGCUGCUCGCGGCGGGCGCUUGCACCCCUCCCUGGACGCCCCUCGUCCUGCACGUACCCGUGUGCGCCCGUGGGGCAGGGGUGGGGGUUCAACCGCUGGCGGCGGUGCCUGAGGGGGCUUGGGAACCUUCCUGAUUUCCAGAAGGGAGCUCCUAUGGAGCUGGGGAGUAGCAGAACGCCAUACGGUCUGAGGAGGAAAACAGCCCAGCCCGUGUCGCCCAGCACCUGGCUGCUGCAGGGUGGUCUUACCUUGUGAAACGUCAGGCAGCCCUUGUUUUCGGUCUUGUCCCUGCUCCUCAGGUCAAAGCUGCAGAGUGCUCUGCCGAGGGGCGGCGGCAGGGGCAGGUGCUUGAUGACCUGCACGGAGCUGGCUGGGAAAACGCCGCUGAUCCCGUUGACCUCCCCCAAAUACCAGUUCUCAUCCAGCUGUCGGAGCAGCACGAUGAUAUCCCCCUUAUUGAACCUCAGCUCUCCGGGGUUGUGCCCUCGACCGGCCGGGGGUUGCCGCCAUCGUCCAGCUGACCCGGCGGCUGUCACCUGCAGCGGCCAACAGUGCACGUCCGGGACAACGCAACGAGAGCAAGUGUCAUGCACAGUGGAGUCCUGGUGCUAAAUGGAGUUUGGAUGCCUGAAAAUUAAUAACAACAGAACAAAGUCCAGCAUUAAAGAGCAAGCACCGCAGUCCUCCUUGUAAGAAGGGAAGAGGAGAAGUAAAGACAGCAAGAGAAGGUUUAGACGGCAGCCGUGAAUGGGUCUUCAACCUGCCAAGGUCCAGCCUCACCUCUCUCAGGAUGUUUUUUAGCUCCAGCCCUGGCGCCGUGGCAGAGCUGCACAUGAACGUGCUUCCUCCUUUCCCUCCCCCCCGGACGGGAAAAUUACAAACUCGGGCCAAUGACCAGCUUUGUGGACCUGGGGACGGUGGCCAGCCACCAGCAGGGAAACUCUGCAACAAGAGGAAGCCUCUCAGACUUUCAGCCUCCUCGCUGACCACGAUACUUAAGGGGUGAACACACACGCACGCUGAGAAACCCUGCUGUUCUAUUCCUGACUUGCCAUCUGAGCCUGACUCAUUGCCUUGGAACCAAUACCGGAGCCGGAUGGGAAUUGCCAUGCCCGUUGCCAUUCGCCCUACAAGGAGCCUUGCUCAUCCUUUGAGAGUGCAGAGAGGAGUUUGCCAGAAAAUGGAACGGACUCGAACAGUCAUAAGCUUUCUGUAGGGAACCUGGCAUAACCCUCUCCCCUGCCUCUGAGGCUGUGGUUCUGCCUUACGCCCCCCUCCAACAGAAGCGGAUUAAUGGCUCAGU